Molecule: long non-coding RNA, 9702 nt
Organism: Bombyx mori (domestic silkworm)
Lineage: Eukaryota; Metazoa; Arthropoda; Insecta; Lepidoptera; Bombycidae
Exons: 3
Source: RefSeq, a predicted model, not a curated record
AAAAAAAACUGGUUUUGGGCUUUUGGGCAUUUCCGUCUUUUUCACUUAUUUUUCGGGCGUUUUAUUGGGUUUUAUUCCAUGUUGAUUAUCUAAUUAUUAGUUUUGUGUGUUUAUAUAAGUGUGUUGUCUUAUUUGUAAGUAAUAUAUUGUAGUUUAGUGUAAAUUGAAUUGUAAACGGAGUCUACCCCCCGAUCCCGGGGCAGGUUAUAUCCUCGAGUCCUCACAAAAUCUUCAUUCAUAUAUUCUUCAUCCCAAUGGACACGGAGGUCAUCCAAGUUCUAGGAAACUACAAACUCCUCCAAAUUCCGAUUAUCUCUUUUCCUCCAAAGAAAAACACAGUCGCACAAGCAAUCGGAUCUAUUCAGUCUGUGUAUACUUUACCAGAAUAUGAGGGUAACAGAAAACGGUAUUUGGAUCAGGAUGUUGCUUCUUUUUUGAUUCAUGUAAGCAAAGAUUGUGAGUCUUCGUCUAGUGCUACGCCCAAUUAAGUUUGAUCACUUCUUAUAACAUAACGAAAUCAAGGAUGUUGCUAAAGACGACGUUAAACUUAUCGGCCGAAACCGAGUCUCAGUUGAAUUCAAAACUGCUGUAGCCACAAAUUCUUUGUUAGAUUACCCAGGUCUUGCCGCAGCUAAAUACAAUGCCAUUAUUCCUUCAUACAAUGUGAAAUAGAAAAUAGCAUUUCUAUUUGGACUCCAACUCCGACAGUUGUUCUAACAUUUAUUGGCCAAAAGCUUCCAGAUAGGGUCUAUUCUUUUUACACUUCCCUCCCAGCUCAGACAUAUAUUUUACCAACUAUUCAAUGUAAUAAUUGCUGCAGGUUUGGGCAUAGUGCUACGCAAUGCCGGUCAAAGGUGUGUUGUUUUAUCUGUGUGAAAUCUCACUCUGGUAUUGACUGUAAUAGUUUAUUUCCUAUACCUACUUGUUUGUUUUGCUCUGGUAACCAUAAAGCCAUUGAUACAUCUUGCCCUGAACAUUCUAGACAGAAACCUAUCAAACUGGUGAUGUCACAAGAAAAUAUCUCGUACAACGAAGCAUCAGUCAGAUUUCCAUAAGUUUUUCAGAUAUUUCUUGUACGUCUCCCCCCCCCCUUUUUUUCCCCACUCAAUCUUCCCAAACCCUACCCCAAUCUUCUCCCCACACCUAAGCCAUAUCCAGUUCAGUCUUGUACUUGUAUUACCCAAAAAUCUCCUCCAGCUCCGGCAUCCAGUUCAGGUUAUGAUAGGCAAGCUCAUCAAGCUAUCAUUAGUGCUCCCCAUUCUAGUAGCCCUAAUGGGAGUGCCUCUCCUUCAGAUGGUGUAUCUGCCAAUGAUAAUCUCCUGGAACUCUUACUUUCUACAAUUUUAAAUAUAUUUCCCUGCUUUGGAGACUUUGAACUGCUGAAAAAUCUCAUAUAUAAACUUAUUGAGGUUUAUAAAACUAUUAAAAAUUCACAAAUUCCUACUAUGGAAUUGUCACAGUAUUCGUCACAAGAAGAAUGAUAACAUCAUUCUUAUUAAUAAAUACAAACUUUCUAUUUUUGCUGUCCAGGAGACAUGGCUUAAGGCCAGAUCUAACUUUAGGAUCCCAGGUUUCUCAUGUCUCCAGGACGAAAAAUCACAUGGUUAUGCUGGAUGUGGUAUUUUAGUAUCUAGAAAUGUGAUAUUUAAACAAAUAUCCCUUCCUUCCCACAGUAAUAGCAAUUUUGCUGUUGUUGUUAGAGUUCAUAAUAUUUCUUUCCUCUCCAUCUAUAUCCCUGAACCUAACCUAGCUCUUCUCUCUGAAUUAAAAACUAUUAUUACAAGUCUUCCUCCACCUAUCCUUAUCUUUAGAGAUUUUAAUAUUCACUAUACAUCUUGGGGUUGUUAUUACUGUGAUACUAUUUCUUUUCUUUUUCUUGAUCUCUGUGAUGAUCUAGAUUUGUGUUUAUUGAAUGACGGGACCCCUACUCGCAGAGUUCCUCCAUCUCAGAAUCCAAAGACUGUUUUCUUUAACUUCUCUCCUGGUCUGUCCUUUCUUCCACUGGCGGUAGUGAUCAAUUCGUGUCAAUUGAUUCCCUUAAUUCUAUUCCUAUUGCUUCCCUUCCACCUCUCACAAAGCUGAUUGAUCACAAUCAGAUCCCAUUUAGAUAAAAAAAUAAUGAAUAUUCCUUUGAUUAACCCUGACAAUGUCCUUUCUUCUUAUGUAUUUUUUAGAAACACAGGAUGUUUGAUAUCAAAAUCUAAACUAGCAUUACAUAUUCUACCUAUUCUUAACACAUCUUGUUCAUCUAAAAAUGGGUGCAACUUUCUCAAUUUAUUAAAAGUUUUACAUAUUUUAUUUACAUUUUUACCAUCCUCCAUUACUUACGAUUAUUACGUAAUAAGUCUUCUAUUCCAUCAUUCUUAGUAUUCGUAAUAAAAUAGGUGUAGGUAUCCUUACCUAAUAUUACAAAUGCAAAAGUGAAUGUGUUUAUUUGUUAGUUUAGCUUCCACACUAGCAGCACCGCAAGUAGGUAGUCAAUCAUCAUGAAAUUUUAUUAUUUAUAGGAAAGAAACUACCAUCACCAAAAAUAUGUGCAGGCAAAAAUCAGUAAUAUAGCGUCCAUUGACUAGUAAAAACAAUUUAAAGUUGAAUAAACUACUCGAAACAAAAUAGGGCCCGCCAUGUUUUAUAAAUGAAUUUUACAAAUUCUUUUUCUUUUUUCAGUUUUUAUUAUUAGAAAUGAAUAAAUUAAGGUUUUUGAAAGUUUGUAUUAACAAGAGUAAGUUUUGCCAAUUUUAUGGAAUUCAGUCAAAAUUUACAAUUUUUAGGAAAGUUGACAGAAAUAAUUUAAGUAAAGUUUGAUUUUAAUUUUUAUUAUUGACAAAAUCAAUGAGUUUGAUGGUGCUUAAUAGCGAGUAGGUCCUCCUCUGUUCCAUAUGCACUCUCUGAAUCUAUCUGGGACACUUUCAAUCAAGUGGUCAUGUUUUCCUCGGGUAUUCGCUCCCAACACAAUUUUAGGGCGUUUAUGAGCUCUUGUCGAUUUGUCACAUUACUGAAGUUCAAUUUGGGGCUUCUUUUCAAUUGGUCCCAUAAAUGUUCAAUGGAGUUAAGAUCGGGACUCAUGGCCGGCCACGUUAAAACCGUAAUAUUGGCUCUCUGGUUUGUUUGGGCUGUAUGUGGGCGAGCAUUGUCUUGCAUAAAGACGAAGUUUUCACCCGCUCUUUGUGAAAAUGGGAUGACAUGGGGCCGAAUUUUCCGAUUGACAUACUGGGAGGUAGUUAUGGAGCUUUCUUUCAGAAUUACCAGCUCAGUUUUACCGAGCAAGCUCUUUCCAGCCCACAAGAAGAUAGAACAAGAGACCUCCAAAACGAUCCCUUUCAAAUAUGCAAGGUUCUGAAAAACGUUCUCCUUCUCUUCUCCACACGCGCACGCAAAGAUCAUCGUUGAAAAACUUUACUUUCAUCCGUAAAGAGUAUAUUUCUCCGGUUAUCUAUUGUCCAUUCGGCAUGCUUGCGAACAAACCUCAAACGUGCUGCACAAUGCGCUUUUUCAAUUUCAGAUGAAUCACUAAUUCGUAGGCCAGUCGAUUGCCGCAGUCGAUUUUGUAAGACACGGGCGGUAAUCGUACGCUUUCAACGUGCAGUCAAUCUGAUAUACCGGUCUUCUUGGAAAGGUUGUGUAGUGGACUGUACUUAGGAUGGGCAAGGAACUUGAUUAAUAAACUCGCGAGGAUUGUACGUAUAAAAUUUGUAUAUUUUAGAAAUUUUAUAAAUCGCGUACAAUAGCACGGAUAAAAGAGAAUGACAAAACUAAGACAUUCCAAAAUUCAAAAUUCAAAUGUAAUGUCAAAAACCACAACGACAACAAUAAAAAAGGUUUUAUACCAUUUUGUUGGGUUUCCAACAUGCUGCGGCCUCAGAAAUGAUAUAUUUUCAAGAAAGUUAUACAAUAUUAAAUUAAUGUAAUAACUUAUACUCACCAUUUUUUUAUGGGAUAAAGACAAUCUUUAUAAUCAUCUAUGAUAAAAUUUAACAUUUAAGAAUUAACUUUAGACACAAAAUCAGAAAUGCAAAGACAGAUUCUAAUCAGUACAUCAUAUUAAGAAUACAAAUGUGAGCUCAAAAAAUACAUUAAGGAAUUUUUAUACCUAGACCUAUAUAUAUAGCUACAUUCGCGUGUUCUGUGACUUUUGUGAAACAAUGUAUUAAAUUAAAUUAAUUAACAGAACUUACGUCAUAUUUUUAUCUAGACAUUAAAAUAAUAACACAUUAAAUAUUAUCAAACGGUAACAAACAUACAGCUGACAGUGACCUUCUAUAAACUUUGCCAUUAGGGGCAGUAACGUCAAAGGCUCGUACUUUACCAUCCCCACCUGGGAAAACCUUGGAAAUUCUAGCUAACGGCCAAUAAAGAGGAGGUGAAUUUGGUUCCUUCAAUAAUACCAUCUUACCUAUACUAAUAUGUGGUAAGGUAUCGCGCCAUUUCAGUCUCGCUUGUAAAAUAUUUAAGUAUUGCCUAUGCCAAGUUUUCCAAAAUGACUGUUUCAUACUCUCAACUAACCGCCAAAACCUAAGUCUAAUUACUGGCGUUUCUGAGAUAUCUGGUUCAGGGAAGCUAGUGAGCGGAGCUCCCACUAAGAAGUGACUUAGAGUGAGGUAGCUGAAAUCUGUAAUGUCUGUAGAGACGGACAUCAAGGGUCUAGAAUUGAAUGAAAAGUUAUUUGGGCAUUUAAUGACAAAACAAUCUUUCUUUGUGUCAAUUGUCAUUCCUAGCGCCUUGAUACUGCUGUUUUCUUUUUGAACUUCAAUUUUAUCUGUCUCUCAUUUAAAGGAAUAUCAGCUAAGAUCUCAUCGCACUUAGAUGACCAUUUAUGCAUUUGGAAGCCACUCAAGCUUAACAAACGUUUUAGCUGCUGUUUCGCCUCAUGUAAAACCGUUAAAUCGUUAUUCGGAUAUAAAACAUCAUCAACAUAAACACAAUUCUUUAUAAUGAAGCAAGCUAUGGUAUGUAUUAUGGUAGUAGCAAUGUCAGAUUCACAUGUACAUAAAAGUGAAACAAUUUUCGUUACCUCAUGUUGAGGUGGCAGACUACCCGCGAUAAUGUGACCAAAUGUUGUGUUGAUAAUCUGUGGCGUUCCUUUACUCUGGCUGGCCGGGUUGACUAGAGGCUGGCGUCGCGUCGCGCACGUCGAGCUGGUCGUCGCCGGUAACAGUGCAGAAGUAACAUCCUCGCUUCUCCUUAGCGGUCACUGCGUUGACUACUUUGGUGGUAACUCUUCCACCAGGUAAAUCUACUAAAGACCAAGUAUUAUUGUGAAUGAGGGACUCACACUCUUCUUUUAUUGCCUGUUUCCAUUUUUCAGAUUCAUUACUUUGAAGAGCUUCUUCCAAGCUCGGGAUCAUUGUUAAGAAGGCUUGAUGUAGACUCACCAUUCAUGCAAAUAUAUAGAGAUGGACUUUCAUUAUUUGUUUGCAACUUUCUUUGCCGACGGGUUUUGAUACCUGUCUCAUUUGCAGGCGAGAUGUCAACACUCUGUCUUGGUAAGUAUGUAUCAUCUAGUGGAUCUUUAUAAUCUGUAUUACUUGAAGUAUCUGUGAUAUUAUUACUCAGAUUAUUUGAAGAAGUCUGCUCUUCCUCACCUGUAUUUUGCAGUUAUACCUAUGAGAUAUCUAAUCGACGUGUAUCGUACAGGUGCGUAUAUCUCAUUGUAAUCUAUUACAUAUUUAUAUAUUUUAGGUUUUUCCCAACACCCUUUAUAUGAAGUAACUUUAUCCCCGCUCUUUGUUCAAUUUUAUCCAUUUUGAAAACAUUGAAAUUGCCUGGAUGCACAAUCGUUUAAGCAUGUAGUGAUAAAGGCCUAUAACGGGCCUUCUUUUCUAUGCACGUACUCUUCAUUUAUAUAUUUAUCAAAUUGGCGAAUUCCCGCGGCUAUUGAACUACUAAUAAUUGACGACGUUUCAGAGUCUUAUUCAUCCCAAACACUUUUUUUGAUAAUAGCCGGGGUUGUGGAAUGUCCUGUAUUUUUUCAAUAUCGACUACUUGAGGAGAGUUUUCUAUUUCUUCCGGCAAUCUUAACUCGCAUAUACGACGUUUCAGGAUGUGGCACGCUUUUUUAAACGUAUCUGGAGUUCGGAAGUCUCUUCUUUUAAAUCUCGGAUCUAAAGUUGCACUUUCCGAGUAAAGGCCGGCAACUCCAUCUGUUUUUGUAUUUCUUGGAGUUUAUUUAAUACAGCCGAACUUUUUUUUAAAUACUUAACUAUGCACUUUACUUUGUUAGUAGUUUGGGUAAUUGUUGUAAUAGCCUGUUGAAGUACCAAGUUCAGCGAAUGAGCAAAGCAACCAACUGAUCGCCACUCUCCCAUUCUAACGGCUUAUAAGACGUUGCGUCGGAGAUACAUAUUUGUAAUGAAACCAACGAGAGUCCGAAUAAUACUCUGUUUUAUUUGAUAGACACUUAUAGGUUUACAUUAGGUAAGUUAACAUAGAUUAUAAGGAAUGUUUCAUACAUCACAGGCUCCUAAAAUGUUUGUGGCGUUGUCGCUGACAAUACAUACAAUUUUAUUAUUUAUUUGCCAAUCGCAGAUAACUUGCUUCAAAAAAACAAGUAAAUUAGCACUGGUGUGCCCUUCAUUAUAAUUAAUACACCCCAAGAGUGCAGAAUCCAGUUGACCUUUGGCGUCCAUAAAAUGCGCCGUAACCGAUAUGUAACUUUUAUUGGUUAUUGACGUUCAACCGUCAGUACAGACUCAAACAUAUUGAACCUCUAGUAACUUUUUCUGUAUAGACUCGAAGGUGCAUAGUUCCUGGGCACCAAAGUUGUUGAUAACGUUUUUCUGGUUGGAAGUUGGUAUCCUGGGCACUUAGAUACCAUAACGAUAAUUAUUUUUAAUUCAGGUUCCUCCACCAUUCGCAAAGCGUGGUGACCUUUAACCACCAUUCUAACAACUUGAUUAUCGAUUUGAUCGACUUUCUUAUAUAAUUGGUGAUUGGAUUUAAUUGUGCAGGUCUGGAUAUACAUAACAGAAUAUUCGGGGUACUGUCUUGUAUAACUAAACUUGUGGAUGCUAAAUUAUUGAUAUUAGAUGAUGGUGUUACUGUAGAUUGUCUAGAUAUUGUUGGGUGUUUAUUUCUCAUCUGACGAUUCAAGUUUCCUAAAGAGCCACUUUUCGUGCUGAGGUAAAGGGAGCAAUGGUUACAUUUUGCUCGACAUUCAUUUGUGCCCUCCGUAAAAUGAAACCAGAUGUUACUUCUCUUAGUUUUUGCCGCCAUUUUUAACCAAAAUAAUAAUCUAGAAGUAAAUUUUACGGAAUUCGAACUACCUAAUACUUAUGAAGAGGCAAUGAACAGUCCAAAUUCUCAUAUAUGGAAGAAAGCUGUGGUUGAAGGGCUUCAGUCACAUAAAAAAUAAACUUGGAUACUAACUGAUCGAACAGAGAAGAAACCUGUGUCUUGUAAAUGGUUAUUCAACAUAAAGAAAAAUAAAGAUGGAGAAAUAGAACGCUUCAAAGCACGACUGUGUGCACGAGGGUUCACACAAGUCAAAGUGUGACAAUUGUAUAUUUGUGGGAUAUUUUAGAGAUAUAAAUGUAAUGUUAAUUCUUUAUGUUGAUGAUGGAUUACUACUGGCAAAAAGUAAAGCUGUUUUAUCUAAAAUAUUAACUAUUUUCAAACAAAAGUUUGAUAUUAAGAUUAUAAAUAUUAAUUCAUUUAUUGGUAUGGAAAUAAAUCAAGAAAAAAAUUGUAUAAGCAUAAGUCAAAGACAGUAUGUAUAUUAAAACAAUAUUAAAUAGAUUUAAUUUGCUAAAUGCAAAAGGUGGUAAUACCCCUGCUGAUGUAAAUGUAGAUUUAUCUAAGAGUACAAGCAAUGAGCCUAUUAAUUUUCCAUACAGAGCUAUUGUAUAUUUGCAGUUGUACGCUUUUUUAAAACUCACCUUCAGCGCAACAACAUACUUUCUUGAAGAAUAGAUCGACUACCACUAACUUAAUUACUUUCACUGAAUAUCUCACGCGUAAUAUGGAUUCUGGAGGUGAAGUCGUCGUGGCCCAAAGGAUAAGGCGCCCGGUGCAGUCGUAUGUGGCGACGCAUCGGUGUUCGAAUCCCGCCAGCGGGUACCAAUUUUUCCAAUGAAAUAGUAUAUAUAGAGAUGCAGUAAUUAAUAGAUAGAGAUGUAGAAGUCAUCACAUACUUUCACUCGAAGCAAGGCGCAUAGCUGUUUUUUUUUUAUAGCGGAGUGGCUGUCUUAGGUGGACUCGUUAUCUUCUAUCGUUGUUGUGUUUAAGGAUGCCUCCUAGAUCCAUAAUGCGUGAGACCUGUCAAUCAUUUCGUCUCAGUACACCGAGAUCAGUAUUAUAGACGUAAUGCAUAGUGUAUAAAAACUGCUAAGAGCUACAUGGAUAUAGUUAGUAUAGUUAAUAUAUACUAUAUAUAUAUAGUAUAGUGUAGUUAUAUAAUAUAUUGUUUAGCUACAUCCCCAUACAGUAUAUACCUCUCAUCUCUACUGAACACAAACGAUUUCUGCUGAUGUUACGCCUAGUCUGACCGCGUCACUCAAAAUACAUGUGGUGCGUGGCGCGCGCGACUUUGCCGCUCUUACGUCGACCGACAACGCGGUAACAGAAACGGAACAGGCGCUGUACGCUCGACGCACUAACACAUCAUCGGUUAAUUAAGCCUAAUUCGGACUAGACUAGUAUUUUAGUCGACUAUCAAGUAAUUUAGUGGCUAAACUACUCGCUACUGCACAGAAAUCGUUCGCAUAAUGGUCCAGUACAGGACACAAGUGAGUGGUGUUUUGCAAGAUGAACGGGCUGCAAUGCAAUAGUGAAUAAACUGAUUAAGCUAUUGGUAAUGGCUAUUUUAGAAGAGGUGGAUGAGGAAAUUUCUUUGAUUAAAAAAAAAAGAAGUUAUGGGUACGAAAAUAGAACGAUGAGAGAGAUAAACUAGGGGUUACUAAGUGUCUUCUGAAGGAAUUAGCAUUGGAAGAUCCCAAAGUAUACUUCGAUAGUUUGAGAAUGUCCUAAAGUUGUGUGAAUUUUCUUUUAACGAAAGUACACUCUCAAAUUCAGCGUAAAGAUACCCAUUUGAGAAGUGCGAUUUCUGCAAUUACAAAAUUACAAGCAGUUCUAUACUUUCUUGCUACUGGAUGUAGUUUAAGAUCACUCACAGAUAUAUUUAGACUUUGGAAAAUCAACUAUUUCCGAAUUCAUCAUCGAAGUUUGUGAAGCAAUCUAUGAAUCAUUAAUGGAAUUUAUCAAGCUCAGUGUGAAGCUGGGACUUUUGGGAAUCGCUGGUUGCUGGCUGACAGUGCCUAUCCAAACAGAUGCUAUAUGUUGACACCAAUUUUAAAUCCUAGUGCUAGAAAUGAAUAAAAAUAUAAUGAUGCACAUAUUGCAACAAGAAACCUUAUUGAAAGAACCUUCGGUGUAUAGAAGCGAUGUUUUUCAGUGAUCUCAUUAUCUAUGCGCUUAUCACUAGAAAACAUUCAGAAAGUUAUAAUAUCUACAGCAGUUCUACACAACAUCUGUAGAAUUAAUAAUUUGCAAGAAACCCCAGCAGAGGUACUAAUACCAUUCCAAGCAAUGGAUGAUGAUGAUCUUCAAACUAUGGGAGUACAAGAUAGCAGGGAUAGAGCAGAAUUAAUAGAAGCCUAUUUCUCAACUCUGUAGAGUGCAAAAGAAACUUAUAAAGUUGAGAAUUAACUCAUUCCCGUCUUAACUUGGAAGUAUUAAGAUAAUAAAAUAAAACCUUUUUGUAUGUAA